This 386-nucleotide unclassified non-coding RNA is filed under the name Hevea brasiliensis (rubber tree). Lineage: Eukaryota; Viridiplantae; Streptophyta; Magnoliopsida; Malpighiales; Euphorbiaceae. The record is from RNAcentral.
GGAAUUCCACUUAUAUUUUGUAUAUAAGUUCCAAACGCCAUACAUCCAUUAUCAAAAUCAUAACCAGAAGAAUGAGAUGAGCUUUGGCACAAUGAGACUCCAGAACUACAAGGAAAAGAAACUUCAUGAAGUCAUGCAUUUGUCAUUGUUAUUUACACCAUCAACAGGUCAUACAAUGCCGGCAUCAAUAGUAUCAUAAAUGAACUAACAGGAAAGUAGGAAACACGAUAAAGAAACAAUGACAUAAACUGCUUCACUUCGUUUUAAAGGGACAGAAAGUAAGGAUUAUAACACACACACACUUUAGGCUUAAAACAUACUAAAUUUUGAUAAAUUGAAGCAUGCGCCUUAAAGGGAUACUAAACUCAAACCUGCUUGUUUAUCAG